UACAGAGGUGGCAAGCGUUGUUCGGAAUUACUGGGCGUAAAGGGCGCGUAGGCGGUCUUCUAAGUCUUGUGUGAAAUCCCUCGGCUCAACUGAGGAACUGCACGGGAUACUGGAUGACUUGAGUUCGGGAGAGGGUAGCGGAAUUCCGGGUGUAGCGGUGAAAUGCGUAGAUAUCCGGAGGAACACCGGUGGCGAAGGCGGCUUCCUGGACCGAUUACUGACGCUGAGGCGCGAAAGCUAGGGGAGCAAACGGG
Molecule: ribosomal RNA, 254 nt
Filed under: uncultured bacterium
Lineage: Bacteria
Description: partial 16S ribosomal RNA
Rfam family: Bacterial small subunit ribosomal RNA
Source: RNAcentral